RNAcentral lists this long non-coding RNA (716 nucleotides) under Cicer arietinum (chickpea). RNAcentral's name for it is "long non-coding RNA (CARI_LNC001820)". The record is from RNAcentral. Lineage: Eukaryota; Viridiplantae; Streptophyta; Magnoliopsida; Fabales; Fabaceae.
GUAAAUACUUCUUCUUCCCUUAUUUCCGUGUUGACACUUUCCAUGGAGACUGAUAUUGGAUUCGAACAUCAGAUGGAAUUUUGCAUCACUCCUCUGAUAUGGCCUGCAAGAUAUUGUAAUUUGAACUAUCUGUAACACAUGACAUAAUAUUGUCAAAAAGAGGAUUUAACUAUUUUUUAGUUUCCAAAAAAAUUAAAGGCUGAGCUCCAUUAUCUUGUUAUUGCUAAUGGCUUUAUAAAGCCACAUGCUCUGAAGGUUGUUUGAUAACUUUUUGUACAUACCGACUUUCAGAAUGGGAUGGUAGUUUUCUCUAGUUAUAAACCGUCUCUUAUAGAAUUGCAGUACUGAACAUCACUGCAUUUACUAAUUGUCUCUAUUAGCUGUGAAAUAUUAUUUUGGUUUUAUCCCUGUUUGCUACUUUUUAUACCACCAUUUUCUUUUGCAGGCUGAAUAUUUUCGUCAGUUGCUUAAACCUGUUACGUAGUCUAGCUUAAAGGAACAUUGAUUUGGGGAGGGAUUGCCUUGUAUUGAACCACAUCAUUAGAAGGCUGCCAGAUGAGAUGAAGUUUUAAUUUGUAAAAGUUGACAUUAUUUUUUAUAGAUGGAAUUGGAAUUACCUUAGUACCUGCUGUUUAGUUGUUACAUCACUGUAGGAACUUUCAUCCAGCUUUAGUACAAAAUAAUUUCCAGUUACAUUGGCCAAAUCCACACUACUU